Triticum aestivum (bread wheat) is the source of this 115-nucleotide non-coding RNA. The record is from Rfam. Lineage: Eukaryota; Viridiplantae; Streptophyta; Magnoliopsida; Poales; Poaceae.
CUAGUACUCCCUCUGUUAGGAAUUACUUGUCUUGAAAAUGGAUAUAUCUAGAACUAAAAUACAUCUAGAUACAUCCAUUUCUACGACAAGUAAUUCCGAACGGAGGGAGUAUCAU